GGGCGGAUUCCUGGUCGCUUUUGUUCCCGCAGAUCAGCGCGCAGUAUUGUUUGAGGUGAAAGCCGGGCGUCCGACCUUCCCGCUUGACUCCCGGGCGUCGCCGUAGGGAGGAAGAGAGUAUCUCCGAAAAGCUGCUGGAGCGGGGGCUCCGGAGACCCGAGCCGUGACGCGGUUUUCCCUCAGCGAGGCUGUGUGACCUUGGCCGAGUCGCUUGGCCUCUCUGAGCCCCGGGCGCCUCCUUGGAAACCGAGGGUAACCCUCACCGCCCCGGGGAGCGGGAGGGGGCUCGCGAGAAGGUCGCGAGCUCGCAGAUGGCCUGCGCCCGCCCUGGCGAGCCGGCCGGCCCGCCUUGGGGUGACAAGGGAGCAGCUCUCUCCGCAGACCUCGCCAGAUGCGGCCAUUGUUAAGUCAGCCGGCUGCCAGCGCGCGAGGACCCCGGGGCACGAGCAAUGCCCCCUCCCCUCCUGGCCUGUGCGCGGCCCCGACCGCAGGUGGAGGGGAGGCGGGGGCACCCGACCCCCGUGAGUCCUACAGCGGCAGGCCCGGCCCCGCAGCAGUGGUCCGUUCUCCCUGCCCUUCCCCCCUGGGUGCCGUCUUUUGACUUCUGGCGACCUACGACUCAUCUGUGCGUGCCAGGCUCUGAGGCCCUGCCCUGCCCGCCCCGUGGAGCCUACACCCUGGUUCUGGGCAGCACACAAGAGCAAGGCACUUGAAUAAACGCAUGCAUUUCUGCAGGACGUGGUCCAAGGUGCUGGAAACUUCCUAGCAAGACAUUCGCCAGCCUUGGGACCUCAAGGCUGAACAGACUUUGCAGAGCCACUCUAGGGAGAGAAGGAAAAUGUGCUUCCCACUCCCUGACCCCUCUCCACGCCUUGGGCAAAAUUUCCCAGAGCCACCACGGUGUUCUUGGUCAGUGAAGGGAGGAGCAGGCAGUUGAAAAUCCACAUAGGCAGGAGGGGUGAGGCUGGUCCCCGUUGGGUCUCCCUGCCUCACUUCCCGGGUACAGUCUACUGUCUACAAGUAACCACAUCAAUCCUUGUUCACUCUGACCUCACCUUUUCAAGUCAUUCCAGGGAAGUAGCCACAUUCCAAAAGCUACCAUAGGAGAAAGUAAAAUAAUAUGGAAAUCAGGGCAAGUCAACACGUUUGCCUCCUAUUGGUUAAUUAGGUUCCUUGGAGCAGAAAGAUCUUGGGACCUUAUGGCGCUGAGGUUCCUCCAGGGCAGCCCCACCAGGGUGUGAAACCUCCAAGCUGUGGUGUCAAGCUGACCUUCGUUCCAGUCCCAGCUCUGGCCAGCUCUGUGACCUUGGCCCUUCACCCAACCAUUCCAAGCCUCAGUUUCCUCAUCUAUAAAAGGAAACCCGCAAUCCUACUCCCGGCAGCUAGCAGAGAUGCUAACCGGCCCUGGACAGCUGGGGAAAUUGAACCACAAGUAACGAUCGAGGUCCCCCAGCUCCUGACUGCCUUCUUGUCCCUUUUUUGCUCUGCCGUUUGCUAUUUAACGUGUGUACUGGACAGCUUAUGGAUUAGGGUGUCCUUGUAAUAGAAAAGAACAAGCAGAGACUCCCGGUGGAGAAGGCCAUGUGAAGACAGAAGCAGAGAUUUGGAGCCAGGGGUCGCCUGGAGUCACCAGGAGCUAGAAGAGGCAGGAAAGAUCUUCCCCUGCAGUCUCUGGAGGGAGUGUAGCCAUGGGACACCUUGACUUCGGACUUCUGACUGCGGGAGAACACUUCCAUCGUGUUAAGCCCGCAGUUGUUUGCUGUGGCCACUCCAGGACAGUCUUACAAGUCUCAUUUCCCCUCAUCCGUACUCCAGCUCAGUUUAAUCCAGCUCAGUGGAUAAUAAACCACUACCCUGCGGGAGCACACCCCACAAAGGGUUUGGGGGCCUCCAAGAAGAAUGACACCCAGCUCCUCGACUUUAAGGAACAGACGCCUGGACUCCUGUUCUGGAAGCCGAUGGCCGCCCAUCUGUGGGAGCUUUCUCUCAGCACACGGUUCCCUUCCCCAGGAAACAGCCAGGAGCCUCCUGGAGGCUACAGUGGACGGUGACCUGCCAGUCCCUCUGAAUGCUAGAAAUGCUGUCUCUCGGGGCUGGCCAUGCGGCUGUGGUUUUCUCAGCCAGCUGCUGCCCAGGGCUCCUUCCCUAAAACAGCCUCCAGCCCCAAGCUGUUUGGAGCUGGUCCCUUUCCCUGACUUCAGAUGGAAAGGUCAUCGUGGGCCCAGGGCCAUGCAAGUUUGUACGCGUUGGAACCAGAUUCUGACCUGAGUCAGUUGCCCAGGAUCUGCCCCUCCCGGAGGAAAGCAUAAAGGAGCAGUCUACUCUCCACAAAAAUAGGGCUGUUCUCCACAUUUUGCGAUCUCUUCUUUCCACUUAACAACAUAUCCCAGAUGUCUUCGCCUGUCACGGACUCUCUUCCAAGUCCUGGUUUUCAAGGGCAGCCCAGAAUCCCUUUGUUUGGGCGUACCGCAAAAUGUUCUACUAAUCCCCUAUUGCUGGCCAUUCAGAUUAUUUCUGUUCUGCUGGCUGAGUUUCAGAAGGCAGUUCUGCUUAUCCUGGACCUUGCACCAGGCUGAAACCCGACCUGCCUCCUCCAGAUCCCCCAUGCGUUUCCGAGAAGUGCGAGCAGGGCUAAAGCGGAGGAGCUGGAUUGCUUCCCACUGCCAUCCCAAUCAAGGCUUCACCGCCUGGCUUGAAGUCUCAAGAUACAGAACACACCCAGACUCAAGUCGGGGUGAAAAACACAUUUCAAAGGCAGGGACAGCUUUCCACGUGGACCUCUGUACGGAACUCUCAGAACCAUUCCUGGCUGUGAAAUACGGGACCUACCAGGGCCAGUGGGCCGGCGGCAUGCGCCAGGGCUACGGUGUGCGGCAGAGCGUCCCCUACGGCAUGGCGGCCGUCAUCCGCUCGCCCCUGAGGACGUCCAUCAACUCCCUGCGCAGCGAGCACACCAACGGCGCCGCGCUGCACCCCGACGCGUCCCCGGCGGCGGCCGGCAGCCCGGCCGUGUCCCGAGGGGGCUUCGUGCUCGUGGCGCACAGCGACUCCGACAGCCUCAAGAGCAAGAAGAAGGGGCUGUUCCGGCGCUCGCUGCUGAGCGGCCUGAAGCUGCGCAAGUCCGAGUCCAAGAGCAGCCUGGCCAGCCAGCGCAGCAAGCAGAGCUCGUUCCGCAGCGAGGCCGGCAUGAGCACCGUCAGCUCCACCGCCAGCGACAUCCACUCCACCAUCAGCCUGGGCGAGGGCGAGGCCGAGCUGGCGGUCAUCGAGGACGACAUCGACGCCACCACCACCGAGACCUACGUGGGCGAGUGGAAGAGCGACAAGCGCUCGGGCUUCGGGGUGAGCCAGCGCUCGGACGGGCUCAAGUACGAGGGCGAGUGGGCCGGCAACCGGCGGCACGGCUACGGCUGCAUGACGUUCCCCGACGGCACCAAGGAGGAGGGCAAGUACAAGCAGAACGUCCUCGUGAGCGGCAAGCGCAAGAACCUCAUCCCGCUGCGCGCCAGCAAGAUCCGCGAGAAGGUGGACCGGGCCGUGGAGGCCGCCGAGCGGGCCGCCACCAUCGCCAAGCAGAAGGCGGAGAUCGCGGCCUCCAGGACGUCGCACUCCCGGGCCAAGGCUGAGGCCGCCCUCACCGCAGCGCAGAAGGCCCAGGAGGAGGCGCGCGUCGCCAGGAUCACUGCCAAAGAGUUCUCCCCUUCCUUCCAGCACCGGGAAAACGGGCUCGAGUACCAGCGGCCGAAGCACCCGAUUUCCAGCAGUGACAUCGAGGUGGCCUCCACGGGGACGCCCCUGCAGCAGGAGAGCCCCGAGCUGUACCGCAAAGGCACCACCCCCUCGGACCUGACCCCCGACGACAGCCCCCUGCAGAGCUUCCCCGCCAGCCCCACGGCCACCCCGCCCCCGGCCCCUGCCUCACGGAACAAGGUUGCCCACUUCUCCCGGCAGGUCUCUGUGGACGAGGAGCGAGGCGGGGACAUCCAGAUGCUCCUGGAGGGCCGGGGAGGGGACUAUGCCCGCAACAGCUGGGGCGAGGAGAAGGCCGGCGGCUCCAGGGGCGUCCGCGGCGGCGCCCUCCGCAGCGGUCAGCCCGCAGACGACUUCCGCUCCCGGAGCUCGGGCCACAGGCAGCCCGGCAACCCCAAGUCCCGGGAGCGGCGGACGGAGUCGCCCCCCACCUUCUCCUGGACUUCCCACCACCGGACCGGCAACCCCGGCUCGGCGGGCGCCAAGCUGCUGGAGCUGGAGGAGGAGAAGUUGAGCAACUACGAGACGGAGAUGAAACCGCUGCGGCGGAUGGACUCGUGCGCGCAGGAGGCGCACCCCCAGAAGAGGCGCUCCAGCAGGGGGGGCGCCUGCCGGGGCCUGGGCGAGGACCACCGCCCCGAGGAGCGGGGCUUCGGGGCGCAGAGGCUGCGGUCCAAGCCCCAGAGCAAGGACGGCGCCAGGCCGGCCUCGUGCAUGGAGCCCGCGGUGCAGAGGCUGGAGAGCCUGCGGCUGGGAGAGCGGGCUGAGCCGCGGCUGCUGCGCUGGGACCUGGCCUUCUCCCCGCCCCAGAAGUCCUCCCCGGUAGCGCUGGAGUCGGACGGAGAGGACGGGGACGAGCUCAAACCCAGCACGGGCUCGGCCCCCAUCCUGGUGGCCAUGGUGAUCUUGCUCAACAUCGGAGUCGCCAUCUUGUUUAUUAACUUUUUCAUCUGAGGAAUCGUCGCGUGAGCAAAAACAGCGGUCGACGUACAAAAGGGGGACGUUAAAAAAAACAAAAAACAAAAAAAACGACAGAGAGGAAAGGAUGGGAACUCAGACGGCCGGACGACCACUUCUGAGACUUUUCACGGAACAAUGUGAUUGGAAGGAGGCCAGCACGCCGACCCUCCAGCUUGGUGUGGAAGGAAAGGGACCCGGCACAUCAACGGCCAAAAAACAAAACGGUCACCGUCCUCGCCGCCAUCACACCCCAUCUGGGACUGGAAAAGGAGGCGGCCGGAGGAAGACCCCAGCGCGUCCAGCUGUGCUGUGAGGCUGAAUGCGGGAAGUCUGUUACCUGCGCCGCUCCCCCGGGUCCUGGAA
RNA transcript from Prionailurus viverrinus (fishing cat), 5073 nucleotides. It is a transcript of the gene named junctophilin 3, with no coding region annotated. Lineage: Eukaryota; Metazoa; Chordata; Mammalia; Carnivora; Felidae. The record is from RefSeq and is a predicted model, not a curated record. The transcript has 9 exons.